Molecule: ribosomal RNA, 460 nt
Filed under: uncultured bacterium
Lineage: Bacteria
Description: partial 16S ribosomal RNA
Rfam family: Bacterial small subunit ribosomal RNA
Source: RNAcentral
CCUACGGGAGACAGCAGUGCGGCAUAUUGGUCAAUGGGCUUACGCCUGAACCAGCCAAGUCGCGUGAGGGAAGACUGCCCUAUGGGUUGUCAACCUCUUUUGUCAGGGAGCAACGCCGGCUACGUGUAGCCGGACUGAGAGUACCUGAAGACAAAGCAUCGGCUAACUCCGUGCCAGCAGCCGCCGGAAUACGGGGGAUGCGAUCGUUAUCCGGAUUGCUGGGGUUUACAGGGUGCGUAGGCGGAAUGCCAAGUCCGCGGUAAAAUCGCGGGGCUCAACCUCGCUCCGCCGUUGAAACUGGCGUUCUUGAGUGGGCGAGAAGUAUGCGGAAGGCGUGGUGUAGCGGUGAAAUGCAUAGAUAUCACGCAGAACUCCGAUUGCGAAGGCAGCAUACCGGCGCCCAACUGACGCUGAAGCACGAAAGCGUGGGUAUCGAACAGGAUUAGAUACCCUUGUAGUC